This 435-nucleotide long non-coding RNA is filed under the name Linum usitatissimum (flax). RNAcentral's name for it is "long non-coding RNA (LUSI_LNC006540)". The record is from RNAcentral. Lineage: Eukaryota; Viridiplantae; Streptophyta; Magnoliopsida; Malpighiales; Linaceae.
CGGCGGUGAUAAAGAAAACGCCGGUCGGCGGCGGGCUCUGUUGGAUUUUUCCUAACCACCAAUCCAUACAGAGGCAGUAAUCAGGAAACUACAAACAUAAAACCAAAAUAGAGGAAUCGGAAAGCGCAACUGGAAUCUAACUUUAGUUUUCGAAAUCAACUGGUGCAUGUUGGUUCUAGACGAAUCGUUUGCAGGUUUUUUAUCAACGAGAGAUUGCAGAGUGCGAUGGAGAAAAGUACGACCCUUUCUUCAACGAUUGGUGGUGACCGUUGACUCGAUGUCGGAAACUGGACGGUUAGGUUGAAUCUAGUACCCGCGUCUGGUGCUUCUAGUUAAAGCAGGUCGUGGCGGCAUUGCUCCUUCGACGACAGAUUGCGGACGGUGGAUUGCAGCGCUUUUCUACUCUCUAAGCCGUUUGACGCUGCGAUGGUGGGA